UGGGAUGCAGCUCAGUGGUAGAGCACUUGCCUAACAAGUAUGAGGCUCUGGGUUCGAUCCUCAGCCCCAC
This 70-nucleotide transfer RNA is filed under the name Heterocephalus glaber (naked mole-rat). The stretch from base 9 to 64 matches the Rfam family "tRNA", at positions 9 to 63 of the family's 71-position model. Rfam says of the family: Transfer RNA (tRNA) molecules are approximately 80 nucleotides in length. Their secondary structure includes four short double-helical elements and three loops (D, anti-codon, and T loops). Further hydrogen bonds mediate the characteristic L-shaped molecular structure. tRNAs have two regions of fundamental functional importance: the anti-codon, which is responsible for specific mRNA codon recognition, and the 3' end, to which the tRNAs corresponding amino acid is attached (by aminoacyl-tRNA synthetases). tRNAs cope with the degeneracy of the genetic code in two manners: having more than one tRNA (with a specific anti-codon) for a particular amino acid; and 'wobble' base-pairing, i.e. permitting non-standard base-pairing at the 3rd anti-codon position. Lineage: Eukaryota; Metazoa; Chordata; Mammalia; Rodentia; Bathyergidae. The record is from Rfam by way of RNAcentral.